Molecule: ribosomal RNA, 342 nt
Filed under: Triticum aestivum (bread wheat)
Lineage: Eukaryota; Viridiplantae; Streptophyta; Magnoliopsida; Poales; Poaceae
Description: partial small subunit ribosomal RNA
Source: RNAcentral
AUGUUGCUGGCAAGACAUCCUAUGAGGACCUGCUCACCGUGGACGGUAGGCUAUGCGGGAGCUUUAGAGAGGCUGCCGAAACGUUGGGACUCAUCGAGGCAGAUAACACGCUCGAUGACUGUCUUACCGAGGCAAAGCAGUGGGCGAUGCCAUGUUCGCUCAGGAGGCUCUUCGCAACAAUUUUCGUGCACUGUAAGCCAGGCGACGUGCGUGGUUUAUGGGAUAGGCACUUGGAGCCUAUGUCUGAUGACUAUCGGCGAUCACACACGUGCCCGAUUGAGGUGGAACAAAUGGUGUUGCUUGACAUUAGGGGUAUGUUGCAGUCCAUGGGCAAAGACAUAG